GACGAACGCUGGCGGCGUGCUUAACACAUGCAAGUCGAACGGAAAGGCCCUGCUUUUGUGGGGUGCUCGAGUGGCGAACGGGUGAGUAACACGUGAGUAACCUGCCCUUGACUUUGGGAUAACUUCAGGAAACUGGGGCUAAUACCGGAUAGGAGCUCCUGCUGCAUGGUGGGGGUUGGAAAGUUUCGGCGGUUGGGGAUGGACUCGCGGCUUAUCAGCUUGUUGGUGGGGUAGUGGCUUACCAAGGCUUUGACGGGUAGCCGGCCUGAGAGGGUGACCGGCCACAUUGGGACUGAGAUACGGCCCAGACUCCUCCGGGAGGCAGCAGUGGGGAAUAUUGCACAAUGGGCGGAAGCCUGAUGCAGCAACGCCGCGUGCGGGAUGACGCCCUUCGGGUUGUAACCGCUUUCGCCUGUGACGAAGCGUGAGUGACGGUAAUGGGUAAAGAAGCACCGGCUAACUACGUG
Molecule: ribosomal RNA, 467 nt
Filed under: uncultured bacterium
Lineage: Bacteria
Description: partial 16S ribosomal RNA
Rfam family: Bacterial small subunit ribosomal RNA
Source: RNAcentral